This 543-nucleotide small RNA is filed under the name Pan troglodytes (chimpanzee). Its description in RNAcentral is "retained intron". The record is from RNAcentral. Lineage: Eukaryota; Metazoa; Chordata; Mammalia; Primates; Hominidae.
UCAAGACGGCCCCAAUGAAGAUGGGGAGAUGUUCAUGCGGCCAGGGAAGCUAUUCGACUAUUUCCCAAAACCAUACCCCAACAGUGAGGCUGCUCGAGCGGCCAACAACGGAGCAUUGCCCCCUGACCUCAGCUACAUCGUGCGAGCUAGGUACACGGGCUGCCCAUGGGGUGGUGCUGGAGAGAUGGGGGAAGGGCUGACUUGUGCUUGGAACUAAGGAGCCAUGGAUCUGGUCCUAGGCAUGGUGGUGAGGACUACGUCUUCUCCCUGCUCACGGGCUACUGCGAGCCACCCACCGGGGUGUCACUGCGGGAAGGUCUCUACUUCAACCCCUACUUUCCUGGCCAGGCCAUUGCCAUGGCCCCUCCUAUCUACACAGAUGUCUUAGAGUUUGACGAUGGCACCCCAGCUACCAUGUCCCAGAUAGCCAAGGAUGUGUGCACCUUCCUGCGCUGGGCAUCUGAGCCAGAGCACGACCAUCGAAAACGCAUGGGGCUCAAGGUAAAAGGGUUGGGAGGCCAUGGUGGGUAUCAGAGAAGGGCU